CCCUGUGGCAACAUACCAGCAACAGGAAAGAUGAAUUCACUGCCCGUUCACACUCACCUAAGCAUAGAUUAUAAAGGGAAACAAAACCAGUAGUUUGAUUUCUCUCCCUCCCAAGUGCAAAACCUGGAUUUGUGCCAGCGAACGCCUUUGUUAAUACAGUGCUGCACUACCAGAGUCCAUCUGGAGUUACUGUUCUGCUUGAUGUCACAUGGCAGAUCCUACCUGCAUUGAAGAUGAAAGGACUUUCAAGAAGCUCUCUCUGCUAAAUGAAACAGCAAAAUUACAGUCAAAGACAAAAUAUUUUAGAAUUAAAAAACCCUGAAAACUUUUCAGACACUACAUGUGAUAUUUCAUCAUCACAGAAUCAUUGAAAACCAGGUUGGAAGAGACCUCAAGGAUCAACUGGUCCAAUCUUUCGUGGCAAAAGCAUAGUCAAGACAAAAUGGCCCUGCACCUUGUUCAGCUGGAUCUUAAAAUUGUUCAGUGUUGGGAAAGGUGUCAAACGCUCGGGAAGAAUCUAUAUUUGAGUCAUAGAGAACAUUCAUACAGGACACAAUAGGUGUGGUAUGUAGAGUUGUCUUGAUAACAGAUGAGAAAGAUCACAUAAUACAGUGCUGCUGCAGCUGGAGUCCCACCACCUGCUACACGUCAGCUGAUAAAUUCUGUCUUAGCUUCAUAUGAGCUUGAACAGACUGUUUCCAUUUCCAAAUCUACUAUCACUCACAACUAAUUUGGUGUUUCCACUCCUUCACUGGUGCAGCACAGACACAGCCGUAGUUAGUCUGACGUAGGUCUCCAUCCUGUAAAGUCUUAGGUAUGUAUUUACCUAGAUAUAAAGGUAUGCAAUGUUUUAUCUCUUCUAAUUUUGUUAUGGUAAUGGCCAUGUUUUUGAAAGCUCUUAAUCCUGAAGUUGAGUGAUCAUGUGAGAGUUCCAUUUUUCAUCUGAAGAUAAACUCUUUAACCUUUAAAGAAGAAUGUUCAAAAAUCUGAAUUCAUAGAGAGAGAACUCACCUUUUCUUGUUCUUAUUUUUUUCCUGAUUUUUCACCGAUUCUAAUGAUUUUUGAAUAUUCUGUUUGAAUGACUUACAAUUGGAGUUAGCUCUGCUAAAACUCUUUGUUGCUUGAAGCAGACUGAAUUUUAAUUUGUAGAUUCAUUACAAAGAUCACAUUUAUUCACACAUUCUUAGCAUAGGCAUAAAUUGAAAAAGUGUACCCCAAAUUCUCAAGAAAUGUUAUAGCUGGUCUCUUUUUUUCUAUCCAAGCCACCAUAUGAUUUUGAAAUUCGA
Molecule: long non-coding RNA, 1286 nt
Organism: Pseudopipra pipra
Lineage: Eukaryota; Metazoa; Chordata; Aves; Passeriformes; Pipridae
Exons: 3
Source: RefSeq, a predicted model, not a curated record